Molecule: ribosomal RNA, 251 nt
Filed under: uncultured bacterium
Lineage: Bacteria
Description: partial 16S ribosomal RNA
Rfam family: Bacterial small subunit ribosomal RNA
Source: RNAcentral
ACGGAGGAUCCGAGCGUUAUCCGGAUUUAUUGGGUUUAAAGGGAGCGUAGGCGGAUGCUUAAGUCAGUUGUGAAAGUUUGCGGCUCAACCGUAAAAUUGCAGUUGAUACUGGGUGUCUUGAGUACAGUAGAGGCAGGCGGAAUUCGUGGUGUAGCGGUGAAAUGCUUAGAUAUCACGAAGAACUCCGAUUGCGAAGGCAGCUUGCUGGACUGUAACUGACGCUGAUGCUCGAAAGUGUGGGUAUCAAACAG